RNAcentral lists this ribosomal RNA (429 nucleotides) under Acidobacteriota bacterium. RNAcentral describes it as "Acidobacteria bacterium partial 16S ribosomal RNA". It matches the Rfam family "Bacterial small subunit ribosomal RNA", at positions 355 to 776 of the family's 1533-position model. Lineage: Bacteria; Pseudomonadati; Acidobacteriota. The record is from RNAcentral.
UGGGGAAUUUUGGACAAUGGGGGAAACCCUGAUCCAGCCAUCCCGCGUGUGCGAUGAAGGCCUUCGGGUUGUAAAGCACUUUUGGCAGGAAAGAAACGUCAUGGGUUAAUACCCCGUGAAACUGACGGUACCUGCAGAAUAAGCACCGGCUAACUACGUGCCAGCAGCCGCGGUAAUACGUAGGGUGCAAGCGUUAAUCGGAAUUACUGGGCGUAAAGCGUGCGCAGGCGGAUCGGAAAGAAAGAUGUGAAAUCCCAGAGCUCAACUUUGGAACUGCAUUUUUAACUACCGGGCUAGAGUGUGUCAGAGGGAGGUGGAAUUCCGCGUGUAGCAGUGAAAUGCGUAGAUAUGCGGAGGAACACCGAUGGCGAAGGCAGCCUCCUGGGAUAACACUGACGCUCAUGCACGAAAGCGUGGGGAGCAAACAGG